CCGGUUGAUCCUGCCAGAGGCUACUGCCAUCAGAGUUCGAUUAAGCCAUGUUAGUCGAGGGUGCUUCUUCUUCGGAAGAAGUAACCCGGCGGACGGCUCAGUAACACGUGGAUAACUUGCCCUUGGGUCCGGGAUAACCCCUGAGAAAUUGGGGACAAUACCGGAUAGGGCAUCGAUAGCUGGAAUGCGCGAUGUCCAAAAGCUGAGGCGCCCAAGGAUAGGUCUGCGGCUGAUUAGGUUGUUGUUGAUGUAAUGGAUCAACAAGCCUGCAAUCGGUACGGGUUGUGAGAGCAAGAGCCCGGAGAUGGGUUCUGAGAAAAGAACCCAGGUCCUACGGGACGCAUCAGGCGCGAAAACUUUACAAUGUGCGAAAGCACGAUAAGGGAACUCUGAGUGCCUCCUAUGGAGGCUGUUCAGGUGUCUAAAAAGCACUUGAAGUAAGGGCUGGGUAAGACCGGUGCCAGCCGCCGCGGUAACACCGGCAGCCCAAGUGGUAGCCACGAUUAUUGGGUCUAAAGCGUCCGUAGCCGGCCAGGUAAGUUCUUUGGGAAAUUUAACCGCUCAACGGUUAAGCUUUCAGAGAAUACUGCUUGGCUUGGGACCGGGAGAGGUCAGAGGUACUUCAAGGGUAGGGGUGAAAUCCGUUAAUCCUUGA
Molecule: ribosomal RNA, 655 nt
Filed under: uncultured archaeon
Lineage: Archaea
Description: bacterial SSU rRNA
Rfam family: Archaeal small subunit ribosomal RNA
Source: RNAcentral